UGAGUACGAGACGCUAAGGCGUCGAAGUAGUGUAUGUCAUACUUCCAAGAAAAGCUUGCACUGUCAUUCAUAAAAAAUGCCUGUACCAUAACCGACACAGGUGGGUAGGUAGAGUAUACUAAGGGGCGCGAGAUAACUCUCUCUAAGGAACUCGGCAAAAUAACUCCGUAACUUCGGGAGAAGGAGUGCCUUAUUUAUAUAAGGUUGCAAUAACAAGAUCCAAGCAACUGUUUACCAAAAACACAGGUCUCCGCUAAGUCGCAAGACGAUGUAUGGGGGCUGACGCCUGCCCAGUGCCAGAAGGUUAAAGAAGUUGGUUAGCAAUAGCGAAGCUAGUAACUGAAGCCCUGGUGAACGGCGGCCGUAACAAUAACGGUCCUAAGGUAGCGAAAUUCCUUGUCGGGUAAGUUCCGACCCGCACGAAAGGCGUAAUGAUUUGGAUACUGUCUCGGAGAGGGACUCGGUGAAAUAGACUUGUCUGUGAAGAUGCGGACUACCUGCACCAGGACAGAAAGACCCUAUGAAGCUUUACUGUAACUUGAAAUUGAAAUUGGACUUUAUUCGCGCAGUAUAGGUGGGAGGCAUUGAAAAUAAUCUUGCGGGAAUAUUGGAGCCAUCAGUGAGAUACCACUCUUGUAGUGUUAGAUUUCUAACUUUGAAUCAUUAUCUGGUCAAAGAACAGUUUCAGGCGGGCAGUUUGACUGGGGCGGUCGCCUCCCAAAUGGUAACGGAGGCGUACAAAGGUUUCCUCUGAACGGGUAGAAAUCGUAUCUAGAGUGUAAAGGCAAAAGGAAGCUUGACUGUGAGACCUACAAGUCGAGCAGGGACGAAAGUCGGUCUUAGUGAUCUGACGGUACUGAGUGGAAAGGCCGUCACUCAACGGAUAAAAGUUACUCUAGGAUAACAGGCUGAUCUCCCCCAAGAGUUCACAUCGACGGGGAGGUUAGGCACCUCGAUGUCGGCUCAUCGCAUCCUGGGGCGGUAGUACGUCCCAAGGGUUGGGCUGUUCGCCCAUGAAAGCGGUACGCGAGCUGGGUUCAGAACGUCGUGAGACAGUUCGGUCCAUAUCCGGUGUAGGCGUUAGAAUAUUGAGAGGAGCCUUCUUUAGUACGAGAGGACCGAGAAGGACAUACCUCUGGUGUACCAGUUAUCGUGCCAACGGUAAACGCUGGGUAGCUAUGUAUGGAGUGGAUAACCGCUGAAAGCAUCUAAGUGGGAAGCCCACCUCAAGAUGAG
RNAcentral lists this ribosomal RNA (1236 nucleotides) under metagenome. RNAcentral's name for it is "bacterial LSU rRNA". It matches the Rfam family "Bacterial large subunit ribosomal RNA", at positions 1564 to 2808 of the family's 2925-position model. The record is from RNAcentral.